Molecule: ribosomal RNA, 467 nt
Filed under: uncultured bacterium
Lineage: Bacteria
Description: bacterial SSU rRNA
Rfam family: Bacterial small subunit ribosomal RNA
Source: RNAcentral
GAUGAACGCUGGCGGCGUGCUUAACACAUGCAAGUCGAACGAAGACAUCUGAGUGCUUGCACUUGGAUGGACUGAGUGGCGGACGGGUGAGUAACGCGUGGGUAACCUGCCUUAUACAGGGGGAUAACAGUUGGAAACGACUGCUAAUACCGCAUAAGCGCACGGUAUCGCAUGAUACAGUGUGAAAAACUCCGGUGGUAUAAGAUGGACCCGCGUCUGAUUAGCCAGUUGGCGGGGUAACGGCCCACCAAAGCGACGAUCAGUAGCCGACCUGAGAGGGUGACCGGCCACAUUGGGACUGAGACACGGCCCAGACUCCUACGGGAGGCAGCAGUGGGGAAUAUUGCACAAUGGGCGAAAGCCUGAUGCAGCGACGCCGCGUGAAGGAUGAAGUAUUUCGGUAUGUAAACUUCUAUCAGCAGGAGAAAAUGACGGUACCUGACUAAGAAGCCCCGGCUAACUACGUG